GUUAAAUACAACUAAUAUCAUUAAUCGAGAAGAGGAAGGGGAAGGAAGAACAAGUCAUUCACCUAAUAUAGGAUAAAUUACCUAAGAAAAAUUUAUGAACUGUAAAUAUUUCCAGGGUCUGAUAAAUAGAACCCAGAUUUUACACAAGAAAACAAGAAAAGAGCCGAUUACAGAGAUAAAGUAGAGCCAAUCUAUACACACAAGCAAUCAGUUCUCGUCUCUGUUGUAAAAAUAGAAAAAGAUUAAAAUGAGUAAAUAAAUAAAUGAAACUACAAGAGCUGUCAAAAGACCACCCAAAAUGAGUAGAGAAAUAUUAGUGGAAUAAAAUAAAUUGACUGACCUCCCUCCACCCAAAAAAAAAAAUUAAAAAAUCCCAAUCUAUUAGCGG
RNAcentral lists this unclassified non-coding RNA (388 nucleotides) under Hevea brasiliensis (rubber tree). The record is from RNAcentral. Lineage: Eukaryota; Viridiplantae; Streptophyta; Magnoliopsida; Malpighiales; Euphorbiaceae.